GCAUACCAUUUGCAAAAGAAGACAACCCAAGGUAAUGUAAAUGGGAUAUGUUCAGUCUUUUUUAGUAGCCACUUAGUCACAAACAAUGGCCAAAGUUAGCGUUCAUAAUUGUUUUUUUAAUUUUUCACACACUAACAAAUAAAUGCUAACUUUGGCCAGUGUUUGUGACUAAGUGGCUACUAGAAAAGACUGGGCAUACCCCAUAUUGAAUACCCUGGGUUAUCUACUUUUAAAAAAUAUAUGGUUUGC
Molecule: non-coding RNA, 249 nt
Organism: Pelobates cultripes (western spadefoot toad)
Lineage: Eukaryota; Metazoa; Chordata; Amphibia; Anura; Pelobatidae
Source: the annotation of a GenBank genome assembly